RNAcentral lists this ribosomal RNA (207 nucleotides) under uncultured bacterium. RNAcentral's name for it is "partial 16S ribosomal RNA". It matches the Rfam family "Bacterial small subunit ribosomal RNA", at positions 568 to 774 of the family's 1533-position model. The record is from RNAcentral.
CGUGUAGGCGGUCAGGUAAGUGAGAUGUGAAAUGCCCCGGCUCACCCGGGGACCGGCAUCUCAUACUGCUUGGCUUGAGUACGGGAGAGGAUGUGGGAAUUCCUGGUGUAGCGGUGAAAUGCGUAGAUAUCAGGAGGAACACCGGUGGCGAAGGCGGCAUCCUGGACCGACACUGACGCUGAGGAGCGAAAGCCAGGGGAGCAAACG